CUGCAGCCAGUUAAGCCAAAUGGAUUUACUCCUGGGUGCCCAGCAUGCAAUGGCUGCAAACAGAAACCUUUUCAGGAGAGUACACAAUCUGUUUCUUUCUUUCUUUUUUUUUUUGGUACUGGGGAUUGAACU
The sequence is a small nucleolar RNA, 132 nucleotides long. Its record names the gene SNORA70. It matches the Rfam family "Small nucleolar RNA SNORA70". From Rfam's summary of the family: snoRNA U70 seems to be exclusive to mammals and is a member of the H/ACA class of snoRNA which contain H (ANANNA) and ACA box motifs. The record is from Ensembl.